UAGCCAUCAAACCAGGGCUCUGGCUCACAGG
Molecule: non-coding RNA, 31 nt
Filed under: Homo sapiens (human)
Lineage: Eukaryota; Metazoa; Chordata; Mammalia; Primates; Hominidae
Source: RNAcentral